UACGUAGGGGGCAAGCGUUGUCCGGAUUUAUUGGGCGUAAAGAGCGUGUAGGCGGCCAGGUAGGUCCGUUGUGAAAACUCGAGGCUUAACCUCGAGACGUCGAUGGAAACCAUCUGGCUAGAGUCCGGAAGAGGAGAGUGGAAUUCCUGGUGUAGCGGUGAAAUGCGCAGAUAUCAGGAAGAACACCCGUGGCGAAGGCGGCUCUCUGGCCCGGUACUGACGCUGAGGUGCGAAAGCGUGGGGAGCAAACAGG
RNAcentral lists this ribosomal RNA (253 nucleotides) under uncultured bacterium. RNAcentral's name for it is "partial 16S ribosomal RNA". It matches the Rfam family "Bacterial small subunit ribosomal RNA", at positions 524 to 776 of the family's 1533-position model. The record is from RNAcentral.